CAUGGGGGAAAUUGAAAAGAAAAUGAAAAGCAUUGAGCUCAAAUGUUGUGAAAAGAAAAAUUCAUGAGAAAAAGAAAAGAAAAGAAGAAAAGCAUGAAGAUGAGCUCAAUGAAAAAGAAAAGGGGAAAAAAGUUGGGAAUGAGUGAGAUUGGUGAGGAAGAGAGUUGUGCUUAAAGGAUGAAUAUUAUUAUAGCUCUCUUGAUUCAAGGACUUUGCAUUCCAGAAAAACCAAGUCUUCUUGUUAGCCCAACAUCAUUACAAGCCUUAGAAAAGUCCUUUUGAUGGCAUUUGCAUGUAAAGAUGUUGAUUGUUUGAGAUGAAUGGCAAUUUUAUUUCUUGUGACUUGUCGAUGAUAGAGAGUUGGAGUGUCACCCUAAACACUUGGCGCCGGGCGGAUUUGCGAUUUGAGGGAAACCGCCGGGCGCCACACUUGUUCCGCCGGGCGGUUGUCUGCUGGGCUUGGACCUAUUUUCUGUGUUUUUUUUAUGGUCUGUUUGGGCUUGGGCUUGUUUUAUGUUAUUUUUAUGCCCUAUUUAAAGGCCAGAACGUCUUAGGGUUUGUAUCUUUUGAUGGCUUAAGCACAUAAACACACUUUUCACCCCUUUGGGGUAGAUUUGGAGAUGGUGACAGCUCUCCUUUCCUCCUUUUUAGGGUUUGUAUCUCUUUCAUUCCAUUCUUCACCUAGUUUCUCCAUGACGACGGGGAACUAAUCUUAUUUGUUGGGAGAAACAAUGUAAUCUUUUGAUACUCUCUUCUAUUUAAACUCUUGUUUAUUUAUAUGGUUUCCAUAUGCUUUGAUU
Molecule: long non-coding RNA, 800 nt
Filed under: Vigna radiata
Lineage: Eukaryota; Viridiplantae; Streptophyta; Magnoliopsida; Fabales; Fabaceae
Description: long non-coding RNA (VRAD_LNC012787)
Source: RNAcentral